UACAGAGGGGGCAAGCGUUGUUCGGAAUUACUGGGCGUAAAGGGCGCGUAGGCGGCCCGCUAAGUCGAACGUGAAAUCCCCAGGCUCAACCUGGGAACUGCGUCCGAUACUGGCAGGCUUGAAUCCGGGAGAGGGAUGUGGAAUUCCAGGUGUAGCGGUGAAAUGCGUAGAUAUCUGGAGGAACACCGGUGGCGAAGGCGGCAUCCUGGACCGGAAUUGACGCUGAGGCGCGAAAGCGUGGGGAGCGAACAGG
Molecule: ribosomal RNA, 253 nt
Filed under: uncultured bacterium
Lineage: Bacteria
Description: partial 16S ribosomal RNA
Rfam family: Bacterial small subunit ribosomal RNA
Source: RNAcentral